UAUCCAUGAUGUGGACAAGAAUUCAAAAGAUCCUUAAAUCUCUCACAACAUUGGAAUAAGGUAUCUUCCUCUUUUUGAAAAAAGUUCAUGAUCACCCUUCUCAGGGU
This is a small nucleolar RNA of Magnolia sinica, 107 nucleotides long. The record is from RefSeq and is a predicted model, not a curated record. Lineage: Eukaryota; Viridiplantae; Streptophyta; Magnoliopsida; Magnoliales; Magnoliaceae.